UUUAAACUUCAGGUGUUUUUU
Molecule: small nuclear RNA, 21 nt
Filed under: Arabidopsis thaliana (thale cress)
Lineage: Eukaryota; Viridiplantae; Streptophyta; Magnoliopsida; Brassicales; Brassicaceae
Description: snRNA_16406
Source: RNAcentral